GAAUAUUGCGCAAUGGACGAAAGUCUGACGCAGCGACGCCGCGUGGGUGAUGAAGGCCUUCGGGUCGUAAAGCCCUGUCGGAGGGGAAGAAGGACUCUCGUGCAAAUAGUUCGAGGGUUUGACGGUACCCUUAGAGGAAGCACCGGCUAACUCCGUGCCAGCAGCCGCGGUAAUACGGAGGGUGCAAGCGUUGCUCGGAAGUACUGGGCGUAAAGGGCGUGUAGGCGGUUUCGUAUGUCUGGCGUGAAAGCCCCGGGCUCACCUCGGGAAGUGCGUCGGAAACUGCGAGACUAGAGUUCCGGAGAGGGAGGUGGAAUUCCAGGUGUAGCGGUGAAAAGCGUAGAUAUCUGGAAGAACACCGGUGGCGAAAGCGGCCUCCUGGACGGUGACUGACGCUGAGACGCGAAAGCGUGGGGAGCAAACAGG
This 426-nucleotide ribosomal RNA is filed under the name uncultured bacterium. RNAcentral describes it as "bacterial SSU rRNA". It matches the Rfam family "Bacterial small subunit ribosomal RNA", at positions 359 to 776 of the family's 1533-position model. The record is from RNAcentral.